UCCCUGGUGGUCCAGUGGUUAAGACUCUGCACUUGCAAUGCAGGGGGCACGGGUUCGAACCCUGGUUGGGGAA
This is a non-coding RNA of Balaenoptera musculus (blue whale), 73 nucleotides long. The record is from the annotation of a RefSeq genome assembly. Lineage: Eukaryota; Metazoa; Chordata; Mammalia; Artiodactyla; Balaenopteridae.